AUUGAACGCUGGCGGCAGGCUUAACACAUGCAAGUCGAGCGAGCGGCGGACGGGUGAGUAUUGUCUGGGCAACUGCCUGAUGGAGGGGGAUAACUACUGACAAUGGUAGCUAAUACCUAAUACCAUAAGAUGUGCCCUGAUGGGAUUAGCUAGUAGGUGGGGUAAUGGCUCACCUAGGCGACGCUCCCUAGCUGGUCUGAGAGGAUGACCAGCAACACUGGAACUGAGACACGGUCCAGACUCCUACGGGAGGCAGCAGUGGGGAAUAUUGCACAAUGGGCGCAAGCCUGAUGCAGCCAUGCCGCGUGUGUGAAGAAGGCCUUCGGGUUGUAAAGCACUUUCAGCGAGGAGGCGUUACUCGCAGAAGAAGCACCGGCUAACUCCGUGCCAGCAGCCGCGGUAAUUC
RNAcentral lists this ribosomal RNA (406 nucleotides) under uncultured bacterium. RNAcentral describes it as "partial 16S ribosomal RNA". It matches the Rfam family "Bacterial small subunit ribosomal RNA", at positions 30 to 526 of the family's 1533-position model. The record is from RNAcentral.